GCCGGUGUAGCCCAAUGGUAGGAGGCAGCUGAUUUAAGCCCAGCCCAGUGCAAGUUCGAGUCUUGUCACCGGUA
RNAcentral lists this transfer RNA (74 nucleotides) under Synechococcus phage S-CRM01. It matches the Rfam family "tRNA". From Rfam's summary of the family: Transfer RNA (tRNA) molecules are approximately 80 nucleotides in length. Their secondary structure includes four short double-helical elements and three loops (D, anti-codon, and T loops). The record is from Rfam by way of RNAcentral. Lineage: Duplodnaviria; Heunggongvirae; Uroviricota; Caudoviricetes; Pantevenvirales; Kyanoviridae.